Molecule: long non-coding RNA, 352 nt
Filed under: Setaria viridis
Lineage: Eukaryota; Viridiplantae; Streptophyta; Magnoliopsida; Poales; Poaceae
Description: long non-coding RNA (SVIR_LNC011481)
Source: RNAcentral
GCACUUGUAAGGAAGGAAGAAGGCGGACUCCUACUAGAAUUUUCCUGUAAUCCUACUAGGAUUCAUACCAUGUAAUCCAGCUAGGACUCCUCCUUGUAACCGACUAGUAAUCUCACCCCCUGGAGUAUAUAAAGGAGGGCAGGGAUCCCUAGAUCAGUAGGCCAAGACCUCAUAGAACUACAACAGAUGACCAAAUCCUUAACACCAAACAACACCCAAAGCAUAGGGUGCAAUACACAACACCCCAAACAGGAUGUAGGGUAUUAUGCUACUCUGGCGGCCCGAACCUGUAUAAAUUCGUGUCUUGUGUCAUUGCUUUUACCUUCGAGUUACAGAUCCAACAAUUCCCCAC